GACGAACGCUGGCGGCGUGCUUAACACAUGCAAGUCGAACGGAAAGGCCCUGCUUUUGUGCGGUGCUCGAGUGGCGAACGGGUGAGUAACACGUGAGUAACCUGCCCUUGACUUUGGGGUAACUUCAGGAAACUGGGGCUAAUACCGGAUAGGAGCUCCUGCUGCAUGGUGGGGGUUGGAAAGUUUCGGCGGUUGGGGAUGGACUCGCGGCUUAUCGGCUUGUUGGUGGGGUAGUGGCUUACCAAGGCUUUGACGGGUAGCCGGCCUGAGAGGGUGACCGGCCACAUUGGGCCUGGGCUACGGCCCAGACUCCUACGGGAGGCAGCAGUGGGGAAUAUUGCACAAUGGGCGGAAGCCUGAUGCAGCAACGCCGCGUGCGGGAUGACGGCCUUCGGGUUGUAAACCGCUUUCGCCUGUGACGAAGCGUGAGUGACGGUAAUGGGUAAAGAAGCACCGGCUAACUACGUG
This 468-nucleotide ribosomal RNA is filed under the name uncultured bacterium. RNAcentral describes it as "partial 16S ribosomal RNA". It matches the Rfam family "Bacterial small subunit ribosomal RNA", at positions 28 to 507 of the family's 1533-position model. The record is from RNAcentral.